Molecule: ribosomal RNA, 228 nt
Filed under: Theileria equi
Lineage: Eukaryota; Apicomplexa; Aconoidasida; Piroplasmida; Theileriidae
Description: partial small subunit ribosomal RNA
Rfam family: Eukaryotic small subunit ribosomal RNA
Source: RNAcentral
GGUCUGUGAUGCCCUUAGAUGUCCUGGGCUGCACGCGCGCUACACUGAUGCAUUCACUGAGUGUAUCCUUGGCUGAGAGGCUUGGGUAAUCUUGAGUAUGCAUCGUGAUGGGGAUUGAUUAUUGUAAUUCUUAAUCAUGAACGAGGAAUGCCUAGUAUGCGCAAGUCAUCAGCUUGUGCAGACUACGUCCCUGCCCUUUGUACACACCGCCCGUCGCUCCUACCGAUC